AGUGAACGCUGGCGGUAGGCCUAACACAUGCAAGUCGAACGGCAGCACAGUAAGAGCUUGCUCUUACGGGUGGCGAGUGGCGGACGGGUGAGGAAUACAUCGGAAUCUACUUUUUCGUGGGGGAUAACGUAGGGAAACUUACGCUAAUACCGCAUACGACCUACGGGUGAAAGCAGGGGAUCUUCGGACCUUGCGCGAUUGAAUGAGCCGAUGUCGGAUUAGCUAGUUGGCGGGGUAAAGGCCCACCAAGGCGACGAUCCGUAGCUGGUCUGAGAGGAUGAUCAGCCACACUGGAACUGAGACACGGUCCAGACUCCUACGGGAGGCAGCAGUGGGGAAUAUUGGACAAUGGGCGCAAGCCUGAUCCAGCCAUACCGCGUGGGUGAAGAAGGCCUUCGGGUUGUAAAGCCCUUUUGUUGGGAAAGAAAAGCAGCAGGUUAAUACCCCGCUGUUCUGACGGUACGCAAAGAAUAAGCACCGGCUAACAUCGUG
This 492-nucleotide ribosomal RNA is filed under the name uncultured bacterium. RNAcentral describes it as "partial 16S ribosomal RNA". It matches the Rfam family "Bacterial small subunit ribosomal RNA", at positions 29 to 507 of the family's 1533-position model. The record is from RNAcentral.